RNAcentral lists this ribosomal RNA (420 nucleotides) under uncultured bacterium. Its description in RNAcentral is "bacterial SSU rRNA". It matches the Rfam family "Bacterial small subunit ribosomal RNA", at positions 361 to 774 of the family's 1533-position model. The record is from RNAcentral.
AUUUUCGUCAAUGGGGGAAACCCUGAACGAGCAAUGCCGCGUGAGUGAAGAAGGUCUUCGGAUCGUAAAGCUCUGUUGUAAGCGAAGAACGGUCCGCAUAGGAAAUGAUGCGGGAGUGACGGUAGCUUACCAGAAAGCCACGGCUAACUACGUGCCAGCAGCCGCGGUAAUACGUAGGUGGCAAGCGUUAUCCGGAAUCAUUGGGCGUAAAGGGUGCGUAGGUGGCGGAUUAAGUCCGUAGUAAAAGGCAUUGGCUCAACCAAUGUAAGCUAUGGAAACUGGUCGGCUGGAGUGCAGAAGAGGGCGAUGGAAUUCCAUGUGUAGCGGUAAAAUGCGUAGAUAUAUGGAGGAACACCAGUGGCGAAGGCGGUCGCCUGGUCUGCAACUGACACUGAGGCACGAAAGCGUGGGGAGCAAAUA